GAGUUCCGCGCUGCUCCCUCGCGGCGCCUGCUCCUCUCCCCCGGCCUGGGCCUUGGCUGCGGCUGCGGGACAGGGCGGUGCCUGUGUCUGUGGCUCCAGGGUGGGACUCUUCAGUCACCUGCAGCCCUGGGGACGCGCCGUGCUGCAGAAUUUCAUGGAAGUGCGACUGGGAUGGACCCUGCCAUCUCCUCACGUGUCGAUUCUGACAGGUGGCUUGCAAAACGACUGGCAAGAAUCUUGAUCUCCUGUGACUUGUCUGCCUGUAGCAACAGCACCCAAUCCUUGACAUCCAUUUUGGGGCACAGUUUUGUUAUAUCUACAAAUGAAACAGGAUUGGACCAUGGCAGGAGGACUUUUUUCUGUUGGCCCUGCUCAUAGUAUCACAGCUGCUGCUGCUGCUGCAGUGGACAGAAGAAGCAUUUACAGGCAAGUAUCAGUCGGUCAGACACAAAGACUGUAACUGUGGAGUGAGAUCUUUUGCUCAGCUGAGUGAGGGUAGGCUGCCAAAAUAGAAAAACAAAAUAUGACAGAUUUAGAAGGCAUGCAACUUGGACAUAUGGUCUUAUAUUAAGAGCUGUUGGUACAGUUUGAGUUAUGUCUACCAAUCUCAAGGCUGGCAGCAUCUGGGCUAUAGUUCCUAGUAGCAGAGUUAUUGUCAGCUGCUGGCUGGUGUAUCAGACCUAAAUGGACAUAGUUGAUGUUAAUGCCUUGUCUUCAAAUUGGGCCCUAGGCCUGGUUUCUACAGCAGUUGAACUUAAAAGGCUUUAGAUUUCUUGGUAAAGAUCAGUGAUUGAUUUGAACUGUUACCUGCAUUUGGAUGUGUGCCAUUGUUAGGCCCUGGAAUUAUAAAGGCCUGGGAAAGCUACCUCAGUAGUUGAGUAUUUGCAGCUUAUUUGAAGACUGCUGGCUGUAGUGGUUAGCAAGUGUUAAUACAUGAUCAUGCAAAACAAGUGCUCUCCAGAUGGUCAGUAAUGUGCAUAUCAUAUACAUUAAACCUGAGCAGUUUGUUUUACUGAAUGUC
This is a long non-coding RNA of Gavialis gangeticus (Gharial), 1021 nucleotides long. RefSeq lists it as uncharacterized. NCBI's taxonomy places the organism in Eukaryota, Metazoa, Chordata, Crocodylia, Gavialidae. The transcript is spliced from 2 exons. The record is from RefSeq and is a predicted model, not a curated record.